The sequence is an RNase P RNA, 359 nucleotides long. It matches the Rfam family "Bacterial RNase P class A". Rfam says of the family: Ribonuclease P (RNase P) is a ubiquitous endoribonuclease, found in archaea, bacteria and eukarya as well as chloroplasts and mitochondria. Its best characterised activity is the generation of mature 5'-ends of tRNAs by cleaving the 5'-leader elements of precursor-tRNAs.
GCCCUGCGCUAAGCAGUCGCUGUCCCGACGUUACGUCGGGAUGGAGGAAAGUCCGGGCACGCGCUCCGCAAGGAGCAGAACGGUAGCGGGUAACGCCCGCCCGAGUAAUUCGAGGGAUGCGAACAGAGACGUCCGAGCCGAGAGGCAAGGACACCCCACUGGGGUGAGCUCGCACGGAAACGCGCGAGGUGCAACGGCAAAAUUCCUACCCGCGUGCAAGGUCGUGCUCGGUCGUGCCGCAGUGUGUUUCGAGGAACAUAGUGCGGCAUGACUGAGAGAACCGCUAGAGGUGAUCGGCAACGAUCAUCGGAGAUGCAUGACUGCUCUCGACAGAACCCGGCUUAUUGCGCAGUGCAGGC